This 379-nucleotide ribosomal RNA is filed under the name uncultured eukaryote. RNAcentral's name for it is "partial 18S ribosomal RNA". It matches the Rfam family "Eukaryotic small subunit ribosomal RNA", at positions 592 to 976 of the family's 1831-position model. The record is from RNAcentral.
CAAUAGCGUAUAUUUAAGUUGUUGCAGUUAAAAAGCUCGUAGUUGGAUUUCGGAUGGGACUUGCCGGUCCGUCGUUUCGAUGUGCACUGGCCAGUCCUAUCUUGUUGUCGGGGACUAGCUCCUGGGCUCCACUGUCCGGGACUAGGAGCUGACGAGGUUACUUUGAGUAAAUUAGAGUGUUCAAAGCAAGCCUACGCUCUGAAUACAUUAGCAUGGAAUAACACGAUAGGACUCUGGCUUAUCUUGUUGGUCUGUGAGACCAGAGUAAUGAUUAAGAGGGACAGUCGGGGGCAUUCGUAUUUCAUUGUCAGAGGUGAAAUUCUUGGAUUUAUGAAAGACGAACUUCUGCGAAAGCAUUUGUCAAGGAUGUUUUCAUUAA